GACGAACGCUGGCGGCGUGCUUAACACAUGCAAGUCGAACGGAAAGGCCCUGCUUUUGUGGGGUGCUCGAGUGGCGAACGGGUGAGUAACACGUGAGUAACCUGCCCUUGACUUUGGGAUAACUUCAGGAAACUGGGGCUAAUACCGGAUAGGAGCUCCUGCUGCAUGGUGGGGGGUGGAAAGUUUCGGCGGGUGGGGAUGGACUGGCGGCUUAUCAGCUUGUUGGUGGGGUAGUGGCUUACCAAGGCUUUGACGGGUAGCCGGCCUGAGAGGGUGACCGGCCACAUUGGGACUGAGAUACGGCCCAGACUCCUACGGGAGGCAGCAGUGGGGAAUAUUGCACAAUGGGCGGAAGCCUGAUGCAGCAACGCCGCGUGCGGGAUGACGGCCUUCGGGUUGUAAACCGCUUUCGCCUGUGACGAAGCGUGAGUGACGGUAAUGGGUAAAGAAGCACCGGCUAACUACGUG
This 468-nucleotide ribosomal RNA is filed under the name uncultured bacterium. RNAcentral describes it as "partial 16S ribosomal RNA". It matches the Rfam family "Bacterial small subunit ribosomal RNA", at positions 28 to 507 of the family's 1533-position model. The record is from RNAcentral.